Molecule: RNA transcript, 4179 nt
Organism: Oncorhynchus keta (chum salmon)
Lineage: Eukaryota; Metazoa; Chordata; Actinopteri; Salmoniformes; Salmonidae
Gene name: protein tweety homolog 1-like
Exons: 14
Source: RefSeq, a predicted model, not a curated record
GGUGGAGGAGAGGAAAGGGAGGGAGACAGGCAGAUGGAGAGGGAUAAUGCUGUAGAUAAGUGUUCUGGCUAAAUGCACUCUCCAGUAAAGUUGAGUAUGAUAGAUGUUAGUAUGUCAGAGUGCAGGCUGAAGAUGAGAUGCAGGAGAGAUGUGACAGGGGUUAGUAACGUUAAUGUUCACUACAGCUUGCAGCUGAGGUAGUAGUGUGACGAUACAAGGCAGCUUUUAACCCUUAAUCAUGUUCAGUAUGUAUGUUAAACAGUCAGGAAUGAUAUUAUUACACUCAAUCACUGGUUAAUGAAUGCAGUAGGUAUGCUCUUCUGAAUGGAGUCAUACAGAUUAGUGUGUGUGUGUGUGUGUGUGUGUGUGUGUGUGUGUGUGUGUGUGUGUGUGUUCUAAUCACCUUUCACUUCCACUGCUUGGGUAGGUAGGACUGUACGCCAUUUGUCACGGUGGAAUUAUAGGACCAAAGAAUAUUGUGGUCCUUUGUAGCUCAGUUGGUAGAGCAUUGUGCUUGUAAUGCCAGGGUAGUGGGUUUGAUUCCCGGGACCACCCAUACGUAAAAUGUAUUCAUGCAUGACGUUAAGUUGCUUUGAAUAAAAGUUGUGAUUUUAGGUAUCACAAUAUCAACCUGUUAUUUAGCUAUUUUGCAUAAAUACACUGUAGGGAUUCUUGCAGAAUAUUGAAGGCUAAUGUCCUCAUGACUGACACGUGCACCUCCCAGCUGCUCUGAAUCCCUGUUGUUAUCCAUAACACAGUAUAUUGAUACAUUUACCCAUCCCUAGUUGCUACAGUCUGGCCUCAAUAUUUGACUCUCAAAUGGUGUGGAGGAGGCUCAUGGGAGUUUCUGAAAUACAAUUUUAUCCCGCCUGCAAAAAUAUGUUGAACCAACAUUUUAUCAAUGUCAUCUGUCAACAAUUUUAGGUUAAUUGUUUGUUUUUUGAAAAUGAAGAAAUGAAAUGUAUACAAAUUUGAACCAGGUUUCCACCGUAAAUCAACAACAGAAUUUCAAGCGUUGAUUUAUUCACAUGUUGACAAUGCAAUUAAAUAUAAACCGAAUAUGGACAUUGAUUUUACGUUCUGUCAGGUUUUUGCCCAGAGGCAUAAUGUUACUUAGAAAUGCAUUUUCCAUUAUGCAAUCAAGUACAAUGACAGUGUUACCAUAAGCAUCCGUCUGUAAAGUGCUGUGUUUAAUUUGAUUUACUCUCUCAGACUCUACUGGUCCUCUCUAGUCUCUCGGCCAUUGCUCUCGUUCUCUCCCUCCUCGUCAUUAUCUCAUUCCUUAUACACUACUGCUGCUGUCGCCGUGGUGACCGGAGCGAGGGAUCUGAGGAAGAGGAGGAGGAUGAAGAGGGCAGCACUGGCCAUGGAUACGGAGGCAAGAAAGGGCGGGGUAUCUGCUGCGUCACCUGGGUGUCGGUGGCGGCUGUCACACUGUGCUGUGUUGCCAUAGGCGUUGGUUUCUAUGGCAACAGUGAGGCUAAUGAUGGGAUAUAUCAGUUGACCUCAUCUCUUCUCACAGCCAAUUACACACUGGCUUCCAUCGAUCUGCUGGUUUCAGACACAAUCUCUGGGCUACAGCAGUCCAUCGCUGGGCCCCUGACCACUAUGGAGGAGCUGUUUACAGGCAGUAAGCCUUAUUUGGUGUCCACCCGGAACUGUAGGAGACUGUCAGAGAACGUGGUGUCCCUGCUCACCUCUCUGACAAUGGCUCGCUCCUCUGAUGGGGGUGCCUGGAACAGCAGUAACAAUAGCGGAGAUCCUCCCAUAGCAGCCCUCACCCCUGUGCCCCCCUCCAUGGCCCCCACAGUGGCACCAGUCGGAGGGGUCAUGCCAAGCCCCUUCUCCCCUGGCUGGGCAGCCAACACACUGAUGGUCAACGAGGACUACAGGUGGCUGUCCUACAUGCUGCUGUUGCUGUUGGACCUCCUAGUGUGUCUGUUCAUCCUGCUGGGGCUAGCCAAACAGGCCCGCUGGCUCCUCAUCCUGAUGACGGUGCUGGCCUGGCUGGCUCUGUUCCUGAGCUGGGGAUCCCUGGGCCUGGAGACUGCCACUGUGGUGGCUGUCAGUGACUUCUGUACAGAUCCUAACACCUUUGUGCUCAACUCCACCCACUUCAACUCUGGGACCAGCUCAGACGUGUUGGAUUAUUACCUGACCUGCAGCAGACGUAUGAACAGCCCUUUCCAGCAGCUGCUGACCCAGUCACAGAGGGCCCUUUCCAGCAUCCACACACACCUAUCCAGCCUGGACCGGAAUGCUCUCCCACAGGUCCCCAAGGCAGAGAAGUCACUCAGGGAGGUUCAGCAGAUUCACAAUGCCACAGAGGGCAACUUUCACCAGCUGGUGGCGCUACUCCACUGUCGAGGUCUCAACAAGGAUUAUAUUGACUCUUUGAAAGGCCUGUGCUCUGACGGGAUGGAGGGAUUGCUCUACCUCUCCCUCUACUCUUUCCUUUCGGCUCUGGCCUUCACUGCCAUCCUCUGUUCCCUGCCCGGCGCCUGGAGAAGCUUCCCCAGUGAUUCCGAGGAGUAUGAAGAUUCGGACAGCGAGAGCGAGGACCCCUUCACUUCCCAUCAGGCACGUAGACAGCCGGCCGCGGGGUCUCAGCGAGGGGCCUUGCCCCCCUUCUAUAAUUACCAGGGAGCCGGGUGGACUCCUCCCUUUUCUAGUGCGCCACCCCUCCCGACUCCAAACGUUUCCUCCAAUGGCAACCCUGGCUAUGAGAGCCUACCCCUGACUGACAGGCAGUCCCCACCCCCCUCUCAUUACCAUCCCAGUCCUAACUUUUACAACAGUCCCUGGUGCUUGUGGUAGAAGUUGCCACCAUCCACCUCUGAUCUGGGAUCAGAUUACCUGACACCCAUUCCUAACCUUAACCAUUUGGAGGUAAAGACCCUGGAUCAGUGGUUGUGGAUAACUUCUACCUCCUCUACCCCUGUUGUUAGGGGAAUAAUGUGACCAUUACUCUCCCAGCAUGCUGACUGGUUACGGGGGUAGUCAAACACACCCCAACUCCGCCCAUUCAAGGAACCUGUAUUCACGCUAAUUAUUUUAUGUUUAAAAAAAUUACAAUUUUUUUUCUGUUUUUUUAUGAAUGGACACUUUACUGAGAUGAAGAAAAAAUAACUAAUCCCCCAAAAUUGAUCUUUAGAUGUAAAUUAAAGGUGCGUAACAUCAGUACCAAGGUUGAAUGGCCUGCUGUAGAACCUCACAGUAAACUAAUGUCAGAUAGAUACAGUAGGUAGCAUGAUUAUGAAGAGGUCUGAACCAGGUUCACUCGGUCAAAGUCACCCUUUUUCAAUCCCCCUUGUCUGUCCAGUGUCAACAGUUGCGAGGUGAGCCAUAAUGGUAUUGACGUUAUGACAUUGUAGUUCUGUUUUUUAAAUGUAGCACCAAUUUAUUUUCACGUUUUUAUAUCUAUAUCUUGUUGUAGAGAAACACUGACACAUAGAAACAAGACACGUUUUUGAGUGAAUGAAUAUGCAGUCUCCUCACUUGGUUGGUAUUCAACGUGCAAUUUUUAUUUUAUUUACUUUUUAUAGGUGAAAAUUCUGUAUCUCCUUUGUAUUACCUUCUGAUACUAUACAUUUCACUGUUGAUGACAUUAUCUAAAUCAGGGAUGGGCAACUCCUGUCCUUGGGGCCGGAGUGGUGAAUAAACUAAUUGCAUUCUAAACAGAAGAUCAUGAUUCGGUGAUUAUUGGAGUCAGCUGCAGAAGGGACACCAAGUCCCCAAGGACUGGAGUUGCCCAUCCCCUCAUGAAACUUUGCUCUUAAAAAGAACAUUCAAGAGAGGGCUAUAGUACAAACCUCUCUGUAGGCUGAAUGGAGAACUACAACUCCCAUCCAACCUCGGGACCGUUAGAGAACUACAAAUCCCAUGCAAUGACAGCAGGCACAAAGCAAUAAAACUCCUGCCACUGGUGCAGCAGUAGCCCUACCAUAAAUAGCAAUAUUAACUAUAUAGCAGUGGGUUUCUGGGGUCUCUAUAGGAUGUUAUGUACAUAUGUGAUGUCAGAUUUCAUUGAACACCCUCCUUGCCUACUGACCUUGUUAACCCUUGAAUUGCGUUUGUAUGGUAUAAUCAAUGCUCCUUUUGAAUGGCAUCCUUUUUCACUCCAGAGUCUAAUAUAAAUAAAAUAAUAACAAUUAAUAAAGUUUGGCCUUAUUUAAAUCA